AUUGAACGCUGGCUUUAGGCCUAACACAUGCAAGUCGAGCGGUAGCACAGAGAGCUUGCUCUCGGGUGACGAGCGGCGGACGGGUGAGUAAUGUCUGGGAAACUGCCUGAUGGAGGGGGAUAACUACUGGAAACGGUAGCUAAUACCGCAUAACGUCGCAAGACCAAAGUGGGGGACCUUCGGGCCUCAUGCCAUCAGAUGUGCCCAGAUGGGAUUAGCUAGUAGGUGGGGUAACGGCUCACCUAGGCGACGAUCCCUAGCUGGUCUGAGAGGAUGACCAGCCACACUGGAACUGAGACACGGUCCAGACUCCUACGGGAGGCAGCAGUGGGGAAUAUUGCACAAUGGGCGCAAGCCUGAUGCAGCCAUGCCGCGUGUGUGAAGAAGGCCUUCGGGUUGUAAAGCACUUUCAGCGGGGAGGAAGGCGUUAAGGUUAAUAACCUUGGCGAUUGACGUUACCCGCAGAAGAAGCACCGGCUAACUCCGUGCCAGCAGCCGCGGUAAUACGGAGGGUGCAAGCGUUAAUCGGAAUUACUGGGCGUAAAGCGCACGCAGGCGGUCUGUCAAGUCGGAUGUGAAAUCCCCGGGCUCAACCUGGGAACUGCAUUCGAAACUGGCAGGCUAGAGUCUUGUAGAGGGGGGUAGAAUUCCAGGUGUAGCGGUGAAAUGCGUAGAGAUCUGGAGGAAUACCGGUGGCGAAGGCGGCCCCCUGGACAAAGACUGACGCUCAGGUGCGAAAGCGUGGGGAGCAAACAGGAUUAGAUACCCUGGUAGUCCACGCCGUAAACGAUGUCGAUUUGGAGGUUGUGCCCUUGAGGCGUGGCUUCCGGAGCUAACGCGUUAAAUCGACCGCCUGGGGAGUACGGCCGCAAGGUUAAAACUCAAAUGAAUUGACGGGGGCCCGCACAAGCGGUGGAGCAUGUGGUUUAAUUCGAUGCAACGCGAAGAACCUUACCUGGUCUUGACAUCCACAGAACUUAGCAGAGAUGCUUUGGUGCCUUCGGGAACUGUGAGACAGGUGCUGCAUGGCUGUCGUCAGCUCGUGUUGUGAAAUGUUGGGUUAAGUCCCGCAACGAGCGCAACCCUUAUCCUUUGUUGCCAGCGGUCCGGCCGGGAACUCAAAGGAGACUGCCAGUGAUAAACUGGAGGAAGGUGGGGAUGACGUCAAGUCAUCAUGGCCCUUACGACCAGGGCUACACACGUGCUACAAUGGCAUAUACAAAGAGAAGCGACCUCGCGAGAGCAAGCGGACCUCAUAAAGUAUGUCGUAGUCCGGAUUGGAGUCUGCAACUCGACUCCAUGAAGUCGGAAUCGCUAGUAAUCGUAGAUCAGAAUGCUACGGUGAAUACGUUCCCAGGCCU
This 1361-nucleotide ribosomal RNA is filed under the name uncultured bacterium. RNAcentral's name for it is "bacterial SSU rRNA". It matches the Rfam family "Bacterial small subunit ribosomal RNA", at positions 28 to 1381 of the family's 1533-position model. The record is from RNAcentral.